Oncorhynchus keta (chum salmon) is the source of this 328-nucleotide long non-coding RNA. RefSeq lists it as uncharacterized. The transcript is spliced from 3 exons. The record is from RefSeq and is a predicted model, not a curated record. Lineage: Eukaryota; Metazoa; Chordata; Actinopteri; Salmoniformes; Salmonidae.
CAGAAAGCUAGCAUGCUAGGUAUCAGUCUAGAGGAACCAUCAGAAAGCUAGCUAGCUAGCUAUCAGUCUAGAGGAACCACCAGAAAGCCAGCUAGCUAGCUAGGUAUCAGUCUAGAGGAACCAUCAGAAAGCCAGCUAGCUAGCUAGCUAUCAGUCUAGAGGAACCAUCAGAAAGCUAGAUAGCUAGGUAUCAGUCUAGAGGAACCAUCAGAAAGCCAGCUAGCUAGCUAUCAGUCUAGAGGAACCAUCAGAAAGCCAGAUAGCUAGCUAUCAGUCUAGAGGAACCAUCAGAAAGCCAGCUAGCUAGCUAGGUAUCAGUCUAGAGGAA